GACGAACGCUGGCGGCGUGCUUAACACAUGCAAGUCGAACGGUGAAGCUCCAGCUUGCUGGAGUGGAUCAGUGGCGAACGGGUGAGUAACACGUGAGCAACCUGCCCCUGACUCUGGAAUAAGCGCUGGAAGCGGCGUCUAAUACUGGAUACGAGAAGGGUCCGCAUGGGCACUUUCUGGAAAGUUUUUCGGUUGGGGAUGGGCUCGCGGCCUAUCAGCUUGUUGGUGAGGUAAUGGCUCACCAAGGCGACGACGGGUAGCCGGCCUGAGAGGGCGACCGGCCACACUGGGACUGAGACACGGCCCAGACUCCUACGGGAGGCAGCAGUGGGGAAUAUUGCACAAUGGGCGAAAGCCUGAUGCAGCGACGCCGCGUGAGGGAUGACGGCCUUCGGGUUGUAAACCUCUUUCAGCAGGGAAGAAGCGAAAGUGACGGUACCUGCAGAAGAAGCACCGGCUAACUACGU
Molecule: ribosomal RNA, 467 nt
Filed under: uncultured bacterium
Lineage: Bacteria
Description: partial 16S ribosomal RNA
Rfam family: Bacterial small subunit ribosomal RNA
Source: RNAcentral